UACAUGGGGUGCAAACGUUGCUCGGAAUUAUUGGGCGUAAAGCGCACGUAGGCGGUCCGUUAAGUCGGAUGUGAAAGCCCCCGGCUCAACCGGGGAAGUGCAUCCGAAACUGGCAGGCUAGAGUACGAAAGAGGGUCGCGGAAUUCCCGGUGUAGAGGUGAAAUUCGUAGAUAUCAGGAGGAACACCGGUGGCGAAGGCGGGUCUCUGGGCAGUAACUGACGCUGAGGAGCGAAAGCGUGGGGAGCGAACAGG
This 253-nucleotide ribosomal RNA is filed under the name uncultured bacterium. RNAcentral describes it as "partial 16S ribosomal RNA". It matches the Rfam family "Bacterial small subunit ribosomal RNA", at positions 524 to 776 of the family's 1533-position model. The record is from RNAcentral.